GAUGAACGCUGGCGGCGUGCCUAAUACAUGCAAGUCGAACGAACGGACGAGAAGCUUGCUUCUCUGAUGUUAGGGGCGGACGGGAGAGUAACACGUGGAUAACCUACCUAUAAGAGUGGGAUAACUUCGGGAAACCGGAGCUAAUACCGGAUGAUAUUUUGAACCGUAUGGUUCAAAAGUGAAAGACGGUCUUGCUGUCACUUAUAGAUGGAUCUGCGCUGCAUUAGCUGGUUGGUACGGUAACGACUUAUCAAGGCAACGAGGCAUAGCCGACCUGAGGGAGUGAUAGGCGACCCUAGAACUGGAACAGACUCAAUGGGCCUACGAGACGCAGCAGUAGGCUAUCGUCCGCAAUAGGCGGAAACAUGGCGGAGCAACCCCGCGUGAGAGAUGACGAUCCUCCGAUCGUGAAAACCUGUUUUUAGUGGAGAACCGAUUUCUAAGGAGCUGAACACUUCUUGACGGUACCUAAUCAGGAAGCAACGGCUAACUACGUG
This 497-nucleotide ribosomal RNA is filed under the name uncultured bacterium. RNAcentral's name for it is "partial 16S ribosomal RNA". It matches the Rfam family "Bacterial small subunit ribosomal RNA", at positions 28 to 507 of the family's 1533-position model. The record is from RNAcentral.